CCUACGGGGGGCUGCAGUGGGGAAUAUUGGACAAUGGGCGAAAGCCUGAUCCAGCCAUGCCGCGUGUGUGAAGAAGGCCUUCGGGUUGUAAAGCACUUUCAGUGGGGAAGAAAGCCUUGGGGCUAAUACCCUCGAGGAAGGACAUCACCCACAGAAGAAGCACCGGCUAACUCCGUGCCAGCAGCCGCGGUAAUACGGAGGGUGCGAGCGUUAAUCGGAAUUACUGGGCGUAAAGCGCGCGUAGGCGGUCUGAUAAGCCGGUUGUGAAAGCCCCGGGCUCAACCUGGGAACGGCAUCCGGAACUGUCAGGCUAGAGUGCAGGAGAGGAAGGUAGAAUUCCCGGUGUAGCGGUGAAAUGCGUAGAGAUCGGGAGGAAUACCAGUGGCGAAGGCGGCCUUCUGGACUGACACUGACGCUGAGGUGCGAAAGCGUGGGUAGCAAACAGGAUUAGAUACCCUGGUAUC
This 464-nucleotide ribosomal RNA is filed under the name Vreelandella stevensii. RNAcentral describes it as "partial 16S ribosomal RNA". It matches the Rfam family "Bacterial small subunit ribosomal RNA", at positions 338 to 794 of the family's 1533-position model. The record is from RNAcentral. Lineage: Bacteria; Pseudomonadati; Pseudomonadota; Gammaproteobacteria; Oceanospirillales; Halomonadaceae.